CGCGAAAGUAAAUGAGCUAAAUUAAGAUAAUUAUUAGAUUAUAAUAUGUAGCAUAAUAUUAAAUAAAUACUAAUUUAGGGGUGAUAGGCUUUUCAAGUUUACAGAUAUCUCGAUACUUUAGAAAAACAUUAAGUGUAACUACAACUGAGUAGUGAUAAGGCUAUUCAUAAGCAUGAACCGAUGUAAUAGUAUUACUAUCCAAAUUUAAUCGUUUGAUAGAGCUUAAAAUUAAUAUUAAUUUAUAUUAUAUUGUGGUCAAUAUAAAGAUCCUUUAAAUUUAUUUAAAUGUUAAAAAUGUAACUAUUAGUAUGUUAAACAAAUAUUGAAAAUGAACUCGGCAAUUUACCUUUCAACUGUUUAUCAAAAACAUAGCUAUAUGGAUAUAUAUAUAGUAAUUUCUGCUCAAUGAUAAUUUAAAUAGCCGCAGUACCCUGACUGUGCAAAGGUAGCAUAAUAAUUUGGCUUAUAAUUGAAGUCUAGUAUGAAUGAAAUAUUGGGGGGUAUCUUUAUCUUCAAUAUUGAUUGAAAUUAUUUCUUAAGUGCAAACCCUUAUAACAAAAUGAUAGACGAGAAGACCCUAAAAAUUUUAAUAAUUAGUACACUUUUCUUUUUGUUGGGGCAACAAGGUAACAAAAAAUUUACCGUUGAAAACAAGAACAGUUAUUUAUGAUAGAUAAAAUUACUUUAGGGAUAACAGCGUAAUUUUAAAAAGUUUGCGACCUCGAUGUUGGACUAGGAAACAAUUGCUUAAAA
RNAcentral lists this ribosomal RNA (753 nucleotides) under Mouldingia occidentalis. RNAcentral describes it as "partial 16S ribosomal RNA". The record is from RNAcentral. Lineage: Eukaryota; Metazoa; Mollusca; Gastropoda; Stylommatophora; Camaenidae.